Molecule: ribosomal RNA, 449 nt
Filed under: uncultured bacterium
Lineage: Bacteria
Description: partial 16S ribosomal RNA
Rfam family: Bacterial small subunit ribosomal RNA
Source: RNAcentral
AACGAACGCUGGCGGCAGGCUUAACACAUGCAAGUCGAACGAGAUCUUCGGAUCUAGUGGCAGACGGGUGAGGAACACGUGGGAACAUCCCUUCCAGUUCGGAAUAACGUUGGGAAACUAACGCUAAUACCGGAUACGUCCUUCGGGAGAAGGAUUUAUCGCUGAAAGAUUGGCCCGCGUCUGAUUAGCUAGUUGGUGAGGUAAUGGCUCACCAAGGCUACGAUCAGUAGCUGAUCUGAGAGGAUGAUCAGCCACAUUGGGACUGAGACACGGCCCAAACUCCUACGGGAGGCAGCAGUGGGGAAUAUUGGACAAUGGGCGCAAGCCUGAUCCAGCCAUGCCGCGUGAGUGAUGAAGGCCUUCGGGUUGUAAAGCUCUUUUAUCCGGGAAGAUAAUGACUGUACCGGAAGAAUAAGCCCCGGCAAACUUCGUGCCAGCCGCCGCCGUAA